RNAcentral lists this ribosomal RNA (253 nucleotides) under uncultured bacterium. RNAcentral describes it as "partial 16S ribosomal RNA". It matches the Rfam family "Bacterial small subunit ribosomal RNA", at positions 524 to 776 of the family's 1533-position model. The record is from RNAcentral.
UACGUAGGGGGCAAGCGUUGUCCGGAUUUAUUGGGCGUAAAGAGCGUGUAGGCGGCUAUUUAAGUCCUGCGUGAAAUCCUGCGGCUCAACCGCAGACGGUCGUGGGAAACUGGAUGGCUAGAGUGCGGGAGAGGAGAGUGGAAUUCCCGGUGUAGUGGUGAUAUGCGUAGAUAUCGGGAGGAACACCUGUGGCGAAGGCGGCUUUCUGGGCCCUACCUGACGCUGAGACGCGAAAGCGUGGGGAGCGAACCGG